This 446-nucleotide ribosomal RNA is filed under the name uncultured bacterium. RNAcentral's name for it is "bacterial SSU rRNA". It matches the Rfam family "Bacterial small subunit ribosomal RNA", at positions 329 to 792 of the family's 1533-position model. The record is from RNAcentral.
UGCCAGACUCCUACGGGAGGCAGCAGUGGGGAAUAUUGCACAAUGGGGGAAACCCUGAUGCAGCGACGCCGCGUGAGUGAAGAAGUAUUUCGGUAUGUAAAGCUCUAUCAGCAGGGAAGAAAAUGACGGUACCUGAUUAAGAAGCCCCGGCUAACUACGUGCCAGCAGCCGCGGUAAUACGUAGGGGGCAAGCGUUAUCCGGAUUUACUGGGUGUAAAGGGAGCGCAGGCGGCGCGGCAAGUCUGAUGUGAAAGCCCGGGGCUCAACCCCGGGUCUGCAUUGGAAACUGUCGAGCUAGAGUGUCGGAGGGGUAAGUGGAAUUCCUAGUGUAGCGGUGAAAUGCGUAGAUAUUAGGAGGAACACCAGUGGCGAAGGCGGCUUACUGGACGAUGACUGACGCUGAGGCUCGAAAGCGUGGGGAGCAAACAGGAUUAGAUCCCCGAGUA